CCGUGGAGGAGCAGGCUGUCCUGGGACACAUCAUUACCUGUUGAAAGACAAAAGAAGAAGUGGCCGUUAGUUUGGACUGAAAGAAUUCCUGGCCGGAGGCUCGAGCUCUCUCCUUCUGUGUUGCUGUCCAUCUGUCCGCUGCCGGGGCCUCCUGCAGGAGCAGAUGUUUACUCCUUCCUCGACCUGAGCCUGGAGGUGAGGGGGUUGGUUGACCGGUGGAGGUUUGACCAAGAGAGAGUUUGCAUUGACACUAGUAGAGACAAUCAGAAAGAACAAUAGUAUGGAUGAACACCAGGGAGGUGGAGGGGCGAAACAGUGGCUGACUGACCGUCUCCAUGCAUACGUACCCUCCGUUCCUCUGUGAAGUAAAGGACUGUGAAGAUGUUUUGGUGGAGGAGUCAGUGUUGUUAAAGUUGUGAAAAAUCUUCACAUGAAAAUGAAGAAUGAAUUGUUGUACAUCACUCGCUGCAUGUUUUCAAAUGUGAAAAGUUGAGUUUAACCAGAAUAUGUCAUGUGCAAAGCAAAUACUACUUCCAUUUUAAAAUUAAGCACCAAGUUGUUAAA
This is a long non-coding RNA of Thunnus maccoyii (southern bluefin tuna), 564 nucleotides long. RefSeq lists it as uncharacterized. Lineage: Eukaryota; Metazoa; Chordata; Actinopteri; Scombriformes; Scombridae. The record is from RefSeq and is a predicted model, not a curated record. The transcript has 2 exons.